AGAGUUUGAUCAUGGCUCAGAAUGAACGCUGGCGGCGUUAACACAUGCAAGUCGAACGAGAAAGCCUUACUUUCGGGUGGGCGAGUAAAGUGGCGCACGGGUGAGUAACGCGUAGAUGAUCUACCCUUGAGUUCGGGACAACCUUGCGAAAGCGGGGCUAAUACCGGAUACGAUUUUUCGGGAUGAAAGUUGGCCGCUCGAAGAAGCUAACGCUCGGGGAUGAGUCUGCGUCCUAUCAGCUAGUUGGUAGGGUAAUGGCCUACCAAGGCGACGACGGGUAGCUGGUCUGAGAGGAUGAUCAGCCACACUGGCACUGACACACGGGCCAGACUCCUACGGGAGGCAGCAGUGAGGAAUUUUGCGCAAUGGGGGAAACCCUGACGCAGCAACGCCGCGUGGGUGAUGAAGGCCUUCGGGUCGUAAAGCCCUGUCAGGUGGGAAGAAUAGCUUGGGGUCUAAUAGGCUUUAAGUAUGACGGUACCACCAGAGGAAGCACCGGCUAACUCCGUGCCAGCAGCCGCGGUAAUACGGAGGGUGCUAGCGUUAUUCGGAAUUACUGGGCGUAAAGCGCGUGUAGGCGGGGAGGUAAGUCUGAUGUGAAAGCCCUGGGCUCAACCUGGGAAGUGCAUUGGAAACUGUUUUCCUUGAGUUCCGGAGAGGAUGGGGGAAUUCCCGGUGUAGAGGUGAAAUUCGUAGAGAUCGGGAGGAAUACCAGUGGCGAAGGCGCCCAUCUGGACGGUAACUGACGCUGAGACGCGAAAGCGUGGGGAGCAAACAGGAUUAGAUACCCUAGUAGUCC
Molecule: ribosomal RNA, 799 nt
Filed under: uncultured bacterium
Lineage: Bacteria
Description: bacterial SSU rRNA
Rfam family: Bacterial small subunit ribosomal RNA
Source: RNAcentral